Molecule: long non-coding RNA, 1396 nt
Organism: Gasterosteus aculeatus aculeatus (three-spined stickleback)
Lineage: Eukaryota; Metazoa; Chordata; Actinopteri; Perciformes; Gasterosteidae
Source: RefSeq, a predicted model, not a curated record
CACUUUUCUAUUUGGUGCUUGUAGACGUUAUGGGAAAGUUGUCUCUCUCCCCCCACCCCUCCCCCUCCGGCUCCCCCUUCCCCUUCCCCUUCUAUCCGUCUGUCAUGUGCUAGGGAUAUGCUCAUGCUUUGCACAGAGCAGCCGAAGCACGACUAAUGCAGGCAACUGAGUGUUAACGGCAAUUUUAAAGUGAUGCCCCCCCCCAUCAAAUAUCACGGCUGGGAUAUUUGAGGGGAACAGACACCACAUCACGGUUCACAGGGAGCCGUGUGAACACCGCUGCUCUUCCCCCUGCUCGGGACGCUUUCUGCUCGGUUGCUGUGAUUUCGAUCACCUCGAGGAACGAUGGAGAAGAGCUACGCAGAACUACAGGCUGCAGGUAGUAGAGGUCGAGAUGACAUCUGAGAUUUUGCUGUCCAUUGGACCCACAUAAGGUGCGAUGGAGAUCUCGUGGAUUGUGACUCAGAAAUAAAUGGCACAAUGUUUGGAUUCUUCAGGCUGAAGACGUCAAGGAUAUUCAGCUGAGCUCAAAGGUAAACAAGUCAUCCUGAUCAACAAGAGUUUUCAUCGGAAUAGGAGCAUCAAGACACUUAACAUUACUCUGCAACCCUUGAACCUGCACUGUACUUUCCAUUGCUGUUUUUCUGUCAAUUGGUUGCAUACUCCUGCACUACUGGUCAAACAGACUAAUCCUGUGACCAUGCACUAACUGUAACAACCAAUUGUGUUUUAUAUUUUGUUAUUCUAAAUGGGAGAAUACUUAGAAUAAAAAUAUUUCUCACGUUCAAACCCAUUUUCUUUUCAUGUAAUUAUUUGAGUCUAAAAAGUAUAUAUUUUUGGCAGCUUAAUAAAAGCCUUUUCUUCUUUUAACUGAUGUUUUAGUGUGAGUUAUUUCUCUCCUUUCUGUGUAGUGGGUGUGCACUCCAAGUAAAAAACAAUGUGCUUGACAUAAUUGGGUCCUAUUUGGCUAUGAAAAGAGCACGCGUGCUGAUAAAAGCUGGAAGGGUGAUCAAAGCACAAUGCGUCCCGAUCGACAUCAUACGCAUGACAUGGUUGUAGUUUAUCCUGACAGAUUAAUGAAACGUGAGGAAACAGGGGAAACAGGUUCAGACAGUUUCCAAGAAGCCUUCCUGUUCAUAAUCAGCUCCUUUUUAUAUUUUGUGCACGUCCUCUGACUAACAAAUAAAAUGUGCCUGUGUGUGCAUAACAUGGAACAAUUAAAAAACUGCAAUGAUUGGAUGCAUAUUCUCUGCACCUCCUUGUGUUGCCAUUUCCUCUCUGUCAGGUUUAAGUUUGAUCAAAGAAAAGUAGGACAAUUUCUGUGUAGUAUUCAUGGCAAAGUUUUCCUUAAAAAAAUGUAAACUGUAAGACGAAUAAAAAGUAGGAUCCUUUGGGA